Molecule: long non-coding RNA, 335 nt
Filed under: Meriones unguiculatus (Mongolian gerbil)
Lineage: Eukaryota; Metazoa; Chordata; Mammalia; Rodentia; Muridae
Description: lncRNA (ENSMUGG00000019484.1)
Source: RNAcentral
AAGUGAGGAGAGCAAGGUGUGCAACUACCGUGACAGGAGGCUCAGGGGCCUCCCCGAGUCUUACCGCUGAGACCCUUCAGGGAGCAGCAACAAGAACUGGACCCCAGAAAACCAACAGCGAGGCUCUGAGAGUGUCACAGCCUGAUGUUCACACUGCCCUGCCUCUUCCACCUCACGAGUCACUGGACCCGACAGUGGGAGCAGCUUGUCACCAGGUCACCAGAAAGCAAACAAUGGCUCAAACUAACACUGUGGCCAAAAGGGCCCUGAUGAGGAAAGCCAGAGGAAGAGGAGCGAGCCAAGGAAGAGUAGAGGGACAAAGUCAACAGACCCAG